CCGUGUUCUACUUCGUUCAGUGCAAAUGUGAGUCUCACUUGGAGGCCGAACGAACUUCGGUUCAUCUGAAAUGGAAGUUUUCCGUAUCGAUCAACCUCUGUACCAGAACGGACUACAAAUUUUAGGAGUACGAGAUGGUUAGAAUCCAGACACGUAAACCUGAUGCUACAAUGAUGUUUGAAUUUACAAGUCAAUGCUGCUACCAAUUAUACGAUCCGGAUGUCUUAAUGAGGUAUAACCCGGCAAGAAGCUUAACUAUAACUUAAAUUUAUCGGCGUAAAAGCGCGCCUCGAAUUUACAAACGACACGAACCGAGAUAAGAUUCUCUUGAUUAAGGUAAGGGGGAUAUAAAAUGAGAACUGAAACGGGGACAGCCAACAUUAUCGUAUCGAACAGAGGUUUGGAAAAGUUAAUGGAAAUUGAAUGAACCGAAAAAGGGUAGUCAGAUGACUGAAUCCAAUUAGCACGAUUAAUUAAUUCAUCGUCACAAGUUAUGUAAGAGAGUACGAGUGUCCUGGACUUUCUACAGCCUCCGAGCGCCCACGGGAUCUUCGAAGAGCCAAACAACCUCGGAAAGCGUGGAUGGAGACAUCUGAAAAAUCGACGGGA
Long non-coding RNA from Cephus cinctus (wheat stem sawfly), 609 nucleotides. RefSeq lists it as uncharacterized. The record is from RefSeq and is a predicted model, not a curated record. The transcript has 3 exons. Lineage: Eukaryota; Metazoa; Arthropoda; Insecta; Hymenoptera; Cephidae.